Molecule: long non-coding RNA, 1129 nt
Filed under: Anas platyrhynchos platyrhynchos (common mallard)
Lineage: Eukaryota; Metazoa; Chordata; Aves; Anseriformes; Anatidae
Description: lncRNA (ENSAPLG00000025902.1)
Source: RNAcentral
AUGUUCAGUUUGAAACAUCUCAGACCUGAUGUACUUCUUGCCAUUCAGAGCUGCAAUAUGGGUCCUCUGGCCAGUGAGAGUGGGAUAACUUCUUUCUCCUGGACAUCAACUUCCCUCCAGUGGAAGUCUCUCUGCAUCCAGGAGCCUUACUGUCACCUGGACAAAGAGCUGAUGCUAGACUGUGAUGAAAGAAAAGAUCUAAUUGGUUCUUCUAUUCAGCUGUGCUAUCUAUGGGCUGCUGAAGAAAAUCCGGGCAACAAUAAGUUGAUAAAGGAUAUGCUGCUGAGCCUGGUGCAGGAAUGUUGCCCAGCUUCUGCAGGGAGCCAGCUCCCAGCCAGCAGGGUGAAUCUGUUCCUGCUGAGCACCAGCCUGCUAGCUGAGUCUGACUUCAGCAGUACCUGGGGGUGUUGUACCCCUGGGGUUCCCAGUGCUGAGGCAAGAGGAUGGGAACAGCAUUCGGCAGCAUGUCUGUGCCUAAAAUCCCUUCAAGAGCACCACGUGAUGGGUGCAGAUGCAGGGACCAUGGCUGCAUGAGGAUUUUCUUUUGGCCUGUCAUGGUGGAAGCCAAAAGGGAAGGAAGCUGGGCUUGUGCUCAUUGCAUGACAUAGGAACAGUUGCUGCACAGCUUUGCUGCAGCACCCAGAGCUGCUCAGCAGGUCUGGGGAGAUGCUUCGUCAGGUGCUGUGUCGCUGAGACAGAGCAUGGAAACUUCAGACAAUACCUAUGAAUGUCUGUUUGUUAAAUGGAUGUGUCUGUGUCUGAAUGCUUACCGUAAGCUGUAAGUCAAGCAUGUCAUCAGGAUUUGAGUAAUAAGGAGGAAUAAGGAGGACAUUUGUCUGGACUGUUCCUUAGCAGAUGGAGGACUGAUUCCAGUGAAGUGGGCUUUAAAUAAUGAAACUGAAAGCAAAAAGGGGAGGAGAAAAAAACAUUUAGCAUAAGAGCAAGAAAGUGAACAAACUUAUAUAGUGAAAGAACAUGAAAAGAAAUUAUUUAAUUUCCUGUUCUUCACCAGAGAAGAGGAGUUGAAAUAUUUACAAAUGGGCUGUUUGAACAAGUUAGUAUUAUUGAAACCUGCUGAGAAGACUCACAUAUUUGGAAUGUAAUAAAAAUGGUUAUAUUUCACUAGGCA